This 292-nucleotide ribosomal RNA is filed under the name uncultured bacterium. Its description in RNAcentral is "partial 16S ribosomal RNA". It matches the Rfam family "Bacterial small subunit ribosomal RNA", at positions 505 to 796 of the family's 1533-position model. The record is from RNAcentral.
GUGCCAGCCGCCGCGGUAAUACGUAGGGGGCUAGCGUUGUCCGGAUUUAUUGGGCGUAAAGAGCGCGUAGGCGGCCGAGUAAGUCCGACGUGAAAUCUGGAGGCUCAACCUCCAGCGGUCGUUGGAAACUACUCGGCUAGAGUCCGGAAGAGGAGAGUGGAAUUCCUGGUGUAGCGGUGAAAUGCGCAGAUAUCAGGAAGAACACCGAUGGCGAAAGCAGCUCUCUGGGACGGUACUGACGCUGAGGCGCGAAAGCGUGGGGAGCGAACAGGAUUAGAAACCCCCGUAGUCC